Molecule: ribosomal RNA, 497 nt
Filed under: uncultured bacterium
Lineage: Bacteria
Description: partial 16S ribosomal RNA
Rfam family: Bacterial small subunit ribosomal RNA
Source: RNAcentral
GAUGAACGCUGGCGGCGUGCCUAAUACAUGCAAGUCGAGCGAACAGACGAGGAGCUUGCUCCUCUGACGUUAGCGGCGGACGGGUGAGUAACACGUGGAUAACCUACCUAUAAGACUGGGAUAACUUCGGGAAACCGGAGCUAAUACCGGAUAAUAUAUUGAACCGCAUGGUUCAAUAGUGAAAGACGGUUUUGCUGUCACUUAUAGAUGGAUCCGCGCCGCAUUAGCUAGUUGGUAAGGUAACGGCUUACCAAGGCAACGAUGCGUAGCCGACCUGAGAGGGUGAUCGGCCACACUGGAACUGAGCCACGGUCCAGACUCCUACGGGAGGCAGCAGUAGGGAAUCUUCCGCAAUGGGCGAAAGCCUGACGGAGCAACGCCGCGUGAGUGAUGAAGGUCUUCGGAUCGUAAAACUCUGUUAUUAGGGAAGAACAAAUGUGUAAGUAACUAUGCACGUCUUGACGGUACCUAAUCAGAAAGCCACGGCUAACUACGUG